AGUGAACGCUGGCGGUAGGCCUAACACAUGCAAGUCGAACGGAAGCACAGUACGAGCUCGCUCUUACGGCUGCCGACGGGUGGAUAGGUGCGAAGAAUAUGCCUAGUAACUUUUUCUUGGGGCAUAAAGUGGGCACUCAUACGCUAAUACCGCUUACGGAGAACGGGUGGAAUCAGGGGAUCUUACGACCUCACGUGAUCCUAUGUCCCGAUGUCGGAUUAGCUAGUUGACGGGGUAAAGGCCCACCAAGGCGACGAUCCGUAGCUGGUCUGAGAGGAUGAUCAGCCACACUGGAACUGAGACACGGUCCAGACUCCUACGGGAGGCAGCAGUGGGGAAUAUUGGACAAUGGGCGAAAGCCUGAUCCAGCCAUGCCGCGUGUGUGAAGAAGGCCUUCGGAUUGUAAAGCACUUUUAGUUGGGAAGAAAGGCAGUAAGUUAAUACCUCGCUGUUUUGACGUUACCCAAAGAAUAAGCACCGGCUAACUUCGUG
RNAcentral lists this ribosomal RNA (492 nucleotides) under uncultured bacterium. Its description in RNAcentral is "partial 16S ribosomal RNA". It matches the Rfam family "Bacterial small subunit ribosomal RNA", at positions 29 to 507 of the family's 1533-position model. The record is from RNAcentral.